Molecule: ribosomal RNA, 254 nt
Filed under: uncultured bacterium
Lineage: Bacteria
Description: partial 16S ribosomal RNA
Rfam family: Bacterial small subunit ribosomal RNA
Source: RNAcentral
GUCCACGCCGUAAACGAUGGAUACUAGCUGUUCGGAGCAAUCUGAGUGGCUAAGCGAAAGUGAUAAGUAUCCCACCUGGGGAGUACGUUCGCAAGAAUGAAACUCAAAGGAAUUGACGGGGGCCCGCACAAGCGGAGGAGCAUGUGGUUUAAUUCGAUGAUACGCGAGGAACCUUACCAGGGCUUAAAUGGGAGACGACAGGACUGGAAACAGUUUUUUCUCGGACGUCUUUCAAGGUGCUGCAUGGUUGUCGU